AAUGAACGCUGGCGGCGUGCUUAACACAUGCAAGUCGAACGAGAAAGGGAUUGCUUGCAAUCCCGAGUAGAGUGGCGCACGGGUGAGUAACGCGUAAGUAAUCUACCCCUGUAUUCGGAAUACCCCACCGAAAGGUGAGCUAAUACCGGAUACGUUUAUCUUGAUGCGAAUGAUGAUAAAGAAAGGUGGCCUCUUCUUGAAAGCUACUGUACAGGGACGAGCUUGCGUACCAUUAGCUAGUUGGUAGGGUAAUGGCCUACCAAGGCGACGAUGGUUAGCGGGUCUGAGAGGAUGAUCCGCCACACUGGAACUGGAACACGGACCAGACACCUACGGGAGGCAG
This 343-nucleotide ribosomal RNA is filed under the name uncultured Pseudomonadota bacterium. RNAcentral's name for it is "bacterial SSU rRNA". It matches the Rfam family "Bacterial small subunit ribosomal RNA", at positions 29 to 351 of the family's 1533-position model. The record is from RNAcentral. Lineage: Bacteria; Pseudomonadati; Pseudomonadota.